This 1486-nucleotide ribosomal RNA is filed under the name uncultured Bordetella sp. RNAcentral describes it as "partial 16S-23S ribosomal RNA intergenic spacer". It matches the Rfam family "Bacterial small subunit ribosomal RNA". Lineage: Bacteria; Pseudomonadati; Pseudomonadota; Betaproteobacteria; Burkholderiales; Alcaligenaceae. The record is from RNAcentral.
GGUUCGAUUAUGGCUCAGAUUGAACGCUGGCGGGAUGCUUUACACAUGCAAGUCGAACGGCAGCACGGACUUCGGUCUGGUGGCGAGUGGCGAACAGGUGAGUAAUGUAUCGGAACGUGCCUAGUAGCGGGGGAUAACUACGCGAAAGCGUAGCUAAUACCGCAUACGCCCUUCGGGGGAAAAGCGGGGGACCUUCGGGCCUCGCACUAUUAGAAGCAGCCGAUAUCCGGAUUAGCUAGUUGGUGGGGUAACGGCUCACCAAGGCGACGAUCCGUAGCUGGUUUUGAGAGGACGACCAGCCACACUGGGACUGAGACACGGCCCAGACUCCUACGGGAGAGCAGCAGUGGAAUUUUGGAUAAUGGGGAAACCUGAUCCAGCCAUCCCGCGUGUGCGAUGAAGGCCUUCGGGUUGUAAAGCACUUUUGGCAGGAAAGAAACGGCGGGACAUACCCCGUGCAACUGACGGUACCUGCAGAAUGGCACACCGGCUAACUACGUGCCAGCAGCCGCGGUAAUACGUAGGGUGCAAGCGUUAAUCGGAAUUACUGGGCGUAAAGCGUGCGCAGGCGGUUCGGAAAGAAAGAUGUGAAAUCCAGAGCUUAACUUUGGAACUGCAUUUUUUAACUGCACCGAGCUAGAGUGUGUCAGAGGGAGGUGGAAUUCCGCGUGUAGCAGUGAAAUGCGUAGAUAUGCGGAGGAACACCGAUAGCGAAGGCAGCCUCCUGGGAUAACACUGACGCUCAUGCACGAAAAGCGUGGGGAGCAAACGGGAUUAGAUACCCUGGUAGUCCACGCCCUAAACGAUGUCAACUAGCUGUUGGGGCCUUCGGGCCUUGGUAGCGCAGCUAACGCGUGAAGUUGACCGCCUGGGAAAUUACGGUCGCAAGAUUAAAACUCAAAGGAAUUGACGGGGACCCGCACAAGCGGUGGAUGAUGUGGAUUAAUUCGAUGCAACGCGAAAAACCUUACCUACCCUUGACAUGUCUGGAAUCCCGAAGAGAUUUGGGAGUGCUCGCAAAGAGAACCGGAACACAGGUGCUGCAUGGCUGUCGUCAGCUCGUGUCGUGAGAUGUUGGGUUAAGUCCCGCAACAGGCGCAACCCUUGUCAUUAGUUGCUACGAAAGGGCACUCUAAUGAGACUGCCGGUGACAAACCGGAGGAAGGUGAGGAUGACGUGGGAUCCUCAUGGCCCAUAUGGGUAGGGCUUCACCCGUCAUACAAUGGUCGGGACAGAGGGUCGCCAGCCCGCGAGGGAGACGUCCAGAAACCCGAUCGUAGUCCGGAUCGCAGUCUGCAGCUCGACUGCGUGAAGUCGGAAUCGCUAGUAAUCGCGGAUCAGCAUGUCGCGGUGAAUACGUUCCCGGGUCUUGUACACACCGCCCGUCACACCAUGGGAGUGGGUUUACCAGAAGUAGUUAGCCUAACCGUAAGGAGGGCGUUACCGCGGUAGGAUUCAUGACUGGGGUGAAGUCGUAACAAGGUAA